This 421-nucleotide ribosomal RNA is filed under the name uncultured bacterium. RNAcentral describes it as "SSU rRNA". It matches the Rfam family "Bacterial small subunit ribosomal RNA", at positions 369 to 808 of the family's 1533-position model. The record is from RNAcentral.
CAAUGGGGGAAACCCUGAUGCAGCGACGCCGCGUGGAGGAAGAAGGUUUUCGGAUUGUAAACUCCUGUCGUUAGGGACGAUAAUGACGGUACCUGACUAAGAAGCACCGGCUAAAUACGUGCCAGCAGCCGCGGUAAUACGUAUGGUGCAAGCGUUAUCCGGAUUUACUGGGUGUAAAGGGAGCGUAGGUGGCAAGGCAAGCCAGAAGUGAAAACCCGGGGCUCAACCCCGGGACUGCUUUUGAAACUGUGGAGCUGGAGUGCAGGAGAGGCAAGUGGAAUUCCUAGUGUAGCGGUGAAAUGCGUAGAUAUCGGGAGGAACACCAGUGGCGAAGGCGGCCUACUGGACAGUAACUGACGUUGAGGCUCGAAAGCGUGGGGAGCAAACAGGAUUAGAUACCCGGUAGUCCAAGGGCGAAUUC